CUUGCUCCUGUGACUGAGCAACAGAGUCGCCGAGCUUAAUUAUCUCUCUCUCUCUCUCGUUCUGUCCCGUGAAAAACCCUACCGAAGUUCGACUGACGAUUUAAAGAACUCAGCAGCUGAGCUCCCUCCGGUCAUACCCUCCUCUCUCUCUUUCACUGUCUGCGAUGGAGGGCGUGAGGAUGCAAUUACAGUUCGAGGAUCGCCGCAUUCUGAGCAAGUCCCAGAGGAAGGAAGGCCUCAAGAGGAGCUGGAUUAGGCUGAAGCCUCAGCACGAGACAGUCUGCAACCUCACCUCUCACAUCCUCCACGCCUUCGAGCUGCAGGACUCGUGCCCCCACGGUCUCAUUCUCUCCGUUUGUUCUGUGCUCAAAUUCAGCUGAUUGGGAGAAUGGUUUCUGGUUCUGCACAUCCUCUCCCCCUGAUUGCCGAUAGUGUCCCCCUGCUGGUGAGGAAUCCGCCCCCGAGUCGUCGGUCUGUUGCGUUUGGACGAGGAGAAGCCGAGAAGAGGCUCGAACCCGUAAAAAUCUUGCUAUGCUCGAAGGAGAAGACGAAGCUUAGCCUCCAGUCGACAGAAGUCACUGAUGAGUGAUGACUGAAACUGAAGAGUGAAGAUGAAGAAAUGGGGUUUCAAUUUCAGCGUUUCAGCCUUCAAAAUCUUCAAUCGUCAAUCGUCAAUUUGGCUAGGGUUUCGUCUGGAUGAAGGGGUAGCUCAUUUUCGGGUUCAGAUCGGGGGAUUCUGAACCCAUGAAACCAAUCGGUUCGAAUGGGUUCGAUGGGUUUAUCUAAAAAUCGUUCGGUUUUGUGGGUUCACCGGUCUGUUUGUGCAUUUUCGGUUUUUUAGCUAACCGGACCGAACAUAGGUCCGGUUUCCGAUCCGAUCGGUCGAACCGUCCGGUCCGGUCCGGUUUUGAUAACACUGAUAAAAUGUGACAUAAAUUAAAUAUAUUAAGUUGCUUUUUUUAGAGAGAUAUUUUUGAUCCUAUAAAUUUGACAUUCAGUUAAUUUUGGCUCUAUAAAAUUUAAAAGUGUCGAAUCAGUCCUAUACG
Punica granatum (pomegranate) is the source of this 1046-nucleotide non-coding RNA. The record is from RefSeq and is a predicted model, not a curated record. NCBI's taxonomy places the organism in Eukaryota, Viridiplantae, Streptophyta, Magnoliopsida, Myrtales, Lythraceae.